GUGGGGAAUCUUCCGCAAUGGACGAAAGUCUGACGGAGCAACGCCGCGUGAGUGAAGAAGGUUUUCGGAUCGUAAAGCUCUUUCGUUAGGGACGAACGUGCUCUUUGUGAAUAAUGAGGAGUAAUGACGGUACCUAAAUAAGAAGCCACGGCUAACUACGUGCCAGCAGCCGCGGUAAUACGUAGGUGGCAAGCGUUGUCCGGAAUUAUUGGGCGUAAAGCGCGCGCAGGCGGGAUAUCAAGUCUGUCUUAAAAGUGCGAGGCUCAACCUCGUGAGGGGACAGAAACUGGGAUUCUUGAGUGUCGGAGAGGAAAAUGGAAUUCCAAGUGUAGCGGUGAAAUGCGUAGAGAUUUGGAAGAACACCAGUGGCGAAGGCGACUUUCUGGACGAUGUCUGACGCUGAGGCGCGAAAGCUAGGGGAGCGAACGGGAUUAGAAACCCCGGUAGUCC
RNAcentral lists this ribosomal RNA (450 nucleotides) under uncultured bacterium. RNAcentral describes it as "partial 16S ribosomal RNA". It matches the Rfam family "Bacterial small subunit ribosomal RNA", at positions 354 to 796 of the family's 1533-position model. The record is from RNAcentral.